Molecule: ribosomal RNA, 588 nt
Filed under: uncultured marine eukaryote
Lineage: Eukaryota
Description: SSU rRNA
Rfam family: Eukaryotic small subunit ribosomal RNA
Source: RNAcentral
UUGCGGUUAAAAAGCUCGUAGUUGGAUUUCUGUCUAAAGCGUCCGGUCUCCACUAUGUGGGUGUAUCUGGUUCGGUUUGGGCAUCCUCUUGGGGAACGGUUCUGCGCUUGAUUGCGUGGGCCGGAAUUCAAGACUUUUACUUUGAGGAAAUUAGAGUGUUCACGGCAAGCUAUCGCUUUGAAUAUGUUAGCAUGGAAUAAUAAUAUAGGGCGUGAGUUCUAUUUUGUUGGUUUUUAGGAUUUACGCAAUGAUUAAUAGGGACAAUUGGGGGCAUUUGUAUUAAGGCGUCAGAGGUGGAAUUCUUAGAUUGCCUUACGACAAACUACUGCGAAAGCAUUUGCCAAGGAUGUUUUCAUUGAUCAAGAACGAAAGUAUGGGGAUCGAAAACGAUUAGAUACCGUUGUAGUCUAUACCAUAAACUAUGCCAAUUAGAGAUGGGGCGUCGUUCGUUUAUGACUCGCUCCGCACCUUAUGAGAAAUCAAAAUUUUUGGGUUCCGGGGGGAGUAUGGUCGCAAGGCUGAAACUUAAAGGAAUUGACGGAAGGGCACCACCAGGAGUGGAGCCUGCGGCUUAAUUUGACUCAACAC